This 119-nucleotide ribosomal RNA is filed under the name Danio rerio (zebrafish). The record is from RNAcentral. Lineage: Eukaryota; Metazoa; Chordata; Actinopteri; Cypriniformes; Danionidae.
UUUUGCGCUUAAGUGUUCUUUGCAUUCACACUUACGGUUGCCCAUUAAAGCUAAGCAGGGUUGCGCCUGGUCAGUGCCUAGCUGGGAGACCACUUGGGAAAGCUAGGUUGCUGCCGGAA